CUCAAAUCAUAAUUCGGCAUAAAACCUGAAUUUAGAAAAUCUGCCUAGCAAUUGUUGAGCAGUCCUGAACAGUAUUUGUGAUUGGUUAAAUAAUUCAAGCUCCGCCCCUGACAUGUACACAGAAUGGCAGUGAGAGAGUCCAGCGGGAGAUUGAGGCGAAGACAAUGAGCCAUUAACAAUUAAACUUCAUCAACUUGGCGAAAUUGUUGUUGUUACUGGUUAAAAGAGUCGAAAAGGACCAUAUGCAUCAGAAAGAGUUGCAGAAUAAUUAUUAUCUGCAUUUUUGUUGGUUUUUUGGUAAUGAAAAACAUUCAUUGAAUCUCGGCCAGGUUUUUGUUUUUUCCCUUGAACUCUCUCUUCUGGAUAGAAGAUGGCGAGCCACCCAGCUUGAAUUUGGUGAUCUUCAAUUGAUUUGUGCAGAGUGCUGUUGAAUCCAGCAUUUACUUCCUGUGAAUUUGAACAACUUAUCUGAGCUCAGCAACGUGAACUGAAUGGACAGAACUGGUGAUCCUUAAUUCAUCAAGUAAUACACAUACACUGAUAACGCACACACACACUUGUUGUCAUUGUAAUUUUAUUUUAUUGUUUAAAUAAUACACGUUUUAAAACAUGAAUUAAAUAAACAUUUUUAAAUAUGUCUAUUAAAUUGUCA
Cyprinus carpio (common carp) is the source of this 652-nucleotide long non-coding RNA. Lineage: Eukaryota; Metazoa; Chordata; Actinopteri; Cypriniformes; Cyprinidae. The record is from Ensembl.